Molecule: long non-coding RNA, 131 nt
Organism: Sphaeramia orbicularis (orbiculate cardinalfish)
Lineage: Eukaryota; Metazoa; Chordata; Actinopteri; Kurtiformes; Apogonidae
Exons: 3
Source: RefSeq, a predicted model, not a curated record
AUACAUGGGAUUAACCCUUUAAACCCUAAACUUAAAAUGGUCCGUCUGGACUUUUUUCUUAUUUUGACUAUAAAAAGGUUAGAAAUAUUCUGUGAGUGAGUCCUUUUGCCCAUUUUUCUAAAACACUUAGA